CUGUAAUUAUGUAAAUCCAACUAUUAUCUGUCGGUUUUCCACCGUGUUCUUCAGAUGCGUUUCUACUUGAGACCAAAGCGUCCGCGCGCGUGUCCCCCGCAGAAGACACGGGGACAGGUGUGGCCUUCCGCACCUGAAGAGAAACCGACAGCUUGAAAACGCACGUCUCUCUCGGCUGAUCGAUAUCAGCAGCUCUCAACUGAGGGUGAAACUGUGUGUGUGUGUGUGUGUGUGUGUGUGUGUGUGUGUGUCUGUGUGUGUGUGUGUGUGUGUGUGUGGGGGGGGGGCUGUGAUUUCACCAGCGCGGUGCGCAGACACGGUGAAAUACGGCCUCUCUUGUGUCGAUACGUUCGGGUCGUAUGACGAGACGAAGCGCUCUUUCAUCCUCGUCAACGGAAUAAAACAAACCUGGAUCUGAAGUUUACAGUCGUGAAAAUGUUCUUGUUGACAAACCGGUUGGCAGCUGCGAACUGAUGACCUAAUAGCUCCUGAUCAUUUGAGGCUCAAUAAGUCAGGAAGAUGUUGAGAUCUUUAACCCGCACGUGUCCUCCUGCAUGAGGUGAAGUGGGCCUCGUAGCCCACGGGCAGCGUCUCUGUGCCUGGGGGGGCAUCUCCAGUCCACAGAUGGACGAGCAGUGGGGAUAAGAUGACUGCCGUCCGCUGGCAGAUGGUACGAGUUCCCCUCAGCCGAGAGUUGUGACUCCAGCUCUCGGCCUGUGUGUGUGUGUGUGUGUGUGUGUGUGUGUGUGGGGGGGGGGGGGGGGGGGGGGGUGCAGAUUAAUGUGUGUAUCUGUUUCAGGGUCAGAAAUUAGCAGGUGCUGAGGACAAAAGUGCCCUUGAUAGUCAACAUUGCACACGUUGCCGUUCUGGCCGACGUAACAUUUCUAAAUUAUUGAUCGGUUCUCGCUGAACUGUGAGAGAAAAAAAGCACAUUUACACUUAUGAGCUGUUAAAGAAAUGAAGUAUAUGUCUCAGCGUAUAUAUAAUAUACAAGAAGCGCCGUAUUGUCUCAGCCAACCAGCUUCCACUUAUUACACUUAAUAAAUAUACUUAUAACUGUGUGUGCAGCCGCAGUAGUUUGUGAAUCAGGGCCACGGAUUGUUUUGUGAGGACAAAGUGACCGUGACCUUUGACCUUUGCUCUGUGUUAUUCUUAUCCCCUCUGUAUUUACCGACCCCCCCUGUGUGUGUGUGUGUGUGUGUGUGUUUAAGUGAAUGUUGUGUCUGUGGAGGCAGAUUACGAGAGGAACGUGGCAGAAGAAAAGAAAAGAACGGUAGAAAUUAAAGGAUAG
Gasterosteus aculeatus aculeatus (three-spined stickleback) is the source of this 1291-nucleotide long non-coding RNA. The record is from Ensembl. Lineage: Eukaryota; Metazoa; Chordata; Actinopteri; Perciformes; Gasterosteidae.